AAUGUUCGAGCACGUUAUCAUUUAAGGAGAAAGUAGUUUUUCUCAGAACUUGAAUCCUUCAAAGCAAUAUGACAACAUCUACAUGUUUAGCAUCCCAAAUAUUUUAGAGUUUGAAUACUCAAAUACCACAUUUUGAUUAUCAAAAUCUAUGAUUAUCCCAUAAGCAAGGACCGUGCUCGAUUCAUCGAUGCUAGAAGGAAAAAGG
Molecule: long non-coding RNA, 205 nt
Organism: Cucurbita moschata (crookneck pumpkin)
Lineage: Eukaryota; Viridiplantae; Streptophyta; Magnoliopsida; Cucurbitales; Cucurbitaceae
Exons: 2
Source: RefSeq, a predicted model, not a curated record